UGGGGAAUUUUGGACAAUGGGCGCAAGCCUGAUCCAGCCAUGCCGCGUGCGGGAAGAAGGCCUUCGGGUUGUAAACCGCUUUUGUCAGGGAAGAAAUCUUCUGAGUUAAUACCUCGGGAGGAUGACGGUACCUGAAGAAUAAGCACCGGCUAACUACGUGCCAGCAGCCGCGGUAAUACGUAGGGUGCAAGCGUUAAUCGGAAUUACUGGGCGUAAAGCGUGCGCAGGCGGUUUUGUAAGACAGAGGUGAAAUCCCCGGGCUCAACCUGGGAACUGCCUUUGUGACUGCAAGGCUUGAGUGCGGCAGAGGGGGGUGGAAUUCCGCGUGUAGCAGUGAAAUGCGUAGAUAUGCGGAGGAACACCGAUGGCGAAGGCAAUCCCCUGGGCCUGCACUGACGCUCAUGCACGAAAGCGUGGGGAGCAAACAGGAUUAGAUACCCUGGUAGUCCACGCCCUAAACGAUGUCAACUGGUUGUUGGGAAGGUUCCUUCUCAGUAACGUAGCUAACGCGUGAAGUUGUCCGCCUGGGGAGUACGGCCGCAAGGUU
This 547-nucleotide ribosomal RNA is filed under the name uncultured bacterium. Its description in RNAcentral is "partial 16S ribosomal RNA". It matches the Rfam family "Bacterial small subunit ribosomal RNA", at positions 355 to 895 of the family's 1533-position model. The record is from RNAcentral.